Molecule: RNase P RNA, 216 nt
Filed under: Salmonella enterica subsp. enterica serovar Enteritidis
Lineage: Bacteria; Pseudomonadati; Pseudomonadota; Gammaproteobacteria; Enterobacterales; Enterobacteriaceae
Description: partial RNase P RNA component class A
Rfam family: Bacterial RNase P class A
About the family: Ribonuclease P (RNase P) is a ubiquitous endoribonuclease, found in archaea, bacteria and eukarya as well as chloroplasts and mitochondria.
Source: RNAcentral
UGGGAUCAGGUAAGGGUGAAAGGGUGCGGUAAGAGCGCACCGCGCGGCUGGUAACAGUCCGUGGCACGGUAAACUCCACCCGGAGCAAGGCCAAAUAGGGGUUCAUAAGGUACGGCCCGUACUGAACCCGGGUAGGCUGCUUGAGCCAGUGAGCGAUUGCUGGCCUAGAUGAAUGACUGUCCACGACAGAACCCGGCUUAUCGGUCAGUUUCACCU